UUAAGUUAUUAAGGGCGCACGGUGGAUGCCUUGGCACUAGAAGCCGAUGAAGGACGUUACUAACGACGAUAUGCUUUGGGGAGCUGUAAGUAAGCUUUGAUCCAGAGAUUUCCGAAUGGGGAAACCCAGCAUGAGUUAUGUCAUGUUAUCGAUAUGUGAAUACAUAGCAUAUCAGAAGGCACACCCGGAGAACUGAAACAUCUUAGUACCCGGAGGAAGAGAAAGAAAAUUCGAUUCCCUUAGUAGCGGCGAGCGAAACGGGAAGAGCCCAAACCAAAAAGCUUGCUUGUUGGGGUUGUAGGACACUCUAUACGGAGUUACAAAGGACGACAUUAGACGAAUCAUCUGGAAAGAUGAAUCAAAGAAGGUAAUAAUCCUGUAGUCGAAAAUGUUGUCUCUCUUGAGUGGAUCCUGAGUACGACGGAGCACGUGAAAUUCCGUCGGAAUCUGGGAGGACCAUCUCCUAAGGCUAAAUACUCUCUAGUGACCGAUAGUGAACCAGUACCGUGAGGGAAAGGUGAAAAGCACCCCGGAAGGAGAGUGAAAUAGAACCUGAAACCGUGUGCUUACAAGUAGUCAGAGCCCGUUAAUGGGUGAUGGCGUGCCUUUUGUAGAAUGAACCGGCGAGUUACGAUUUGAUGCAAGGUUAAGCAGUAAAUGUGGAGCCGUAGCGAAAGCGAGUCUGAAUAGGGCGUUUAGUAUUUGGUCGUAGACCCGAAACCAGGUGAUCUACCCUUGGUCAGGUUGAAGUUCAGGUAACACUGAAUGGAGGACCGAACCGACUUACGUUGAAAAGUGAGCGGAUGAACUGAGGGUAGCGGAGAAAUUCCAAUCGAACCUGGAGAUAGCUGGUUCUCUCCGAAAUAGCUUUAGGGCUAGCCUCAAGUGAUGAUUAUUGGAGGUAGAGCACUGUUUGGACGAGGGGCCCCUCUCGGGUUACCGAAUUCAGACAAACUCCGAAUGCCAAUUAAUUUAACUUGGGAGUCAGAACAUGGGUGAUAAGGUCCGUGUUCGAAAGGGAAACAGCCCAGACCACCAGCUAAGGUCCCAAAAUAUAUGUUAAGUGGAAAAGGAUGUGGCGUUGCCCAGACAACUAGGAUGUUGGCUUAGAAGCAGCCAUCAUUUAAAGAGUGCGUAAUAGCUCACUAGUCGAGUGACACUGCGCCGAAAAUGUACCGGGGCUAAACAUAUUACCGAAGCUGUGGAUUGUCCUUUGGACAAUGGUAGGAGAGCGUUCUAAGGGCGUUGAAGCAUGAUCGUAAGGACAUGUGGAGCGCUUAGAAGUGAGAAUGCCGGUGUGAGUAGCGAAAGACGGGUGAGAAUCCCGUCCACCGAUUGACUAAGGUUUCCAGAGGAAGGCUCGUCCGCUCUGGGUUAGUCGGGUCCUAAGCUGAGGCCGACAGGCGUAGGCGAUGGAUAACAGGUUGAUAUUCCUGUACCACCUAUAAUCGUUUUAAUCGAUGGGGGGACGCAGUAGGAUAGGCGAAGCGUGCGAUUGGAUUGCACGUCUAAGCAGUAAGGCUGAGUAUUAGGCAAAUCCGGUACUCGUUAAGGCUGAGCUGUGAUGGGGAGAAGACAUUGAGUCUUCGAGUCGUUGAUUUCACACUGCCGAGAAAAGCCUCUAGAUAGAAAAUAGGUGCCCGUACCGCAAACCGACACAGGUAGUCAAGAUGAGAAUUCUAAGGUGAGCGAGCGAACUCUCGUUAAGGAACUCGGCAAAAUGACCCCGUAACUUCGGGAGAAGGGGUGCUCUUUAGGGUUAACGCCCAGAAGAGCCGCAGUGAAUAGGCCCAAGCGACUGUUUAUCAAAAACACAGGUCUCUGCUAAACCGUAAGGUGAUGUAUAGGGGCUGACGCCUGCCCGGUGCUGGAAGGUUAAGAGGAGUGGUUAGCUUCUGCGAAGCUACGAAUCGAAGCCCCAGUAAACGGCGGCCGUAACUAUAACGGUCCUAAGGUAGCGAAAUUCCUUGUCGGGUAAGUUCCGACCCGCACGAAAGGCGUAACGAUUUGGGCACUGUCUCAACGAGAGACUCGGUGAAAUCAUAGUACCUGUGAAGAUGCAGGUUACCCGCGACAGGACGGAAAGACCCCGUGGAGCUUUACUGUAGCCUGAUAUUGAAAUUCGGCACAGCUUGUACAGGAUAGGUAGGAGCCUUUGAAACGUGAGCGCUAGCUUACGUGGAGGCGCUGGUGGGAUACUACCCUAGCUGUGUUGGCUUUCUAACCCGCACCACUUAUCGUGGUGGGAGACAGUGUCAGGCGGGCAGUUUGACUGGGGCGGUCGCCUCCUAAAAGGUAACGGAGGCGCUCAAAGGUUCCCUCAGAAUGGUUGGAAAUCAUUCAUAGAGUGUAAAGGCAUAAGGGAGCUUGACUGCGAGACCUACAAGUCGAGCAGGGUCGAAAGACGGACUUAGUGAUCCGGUGGUUCCGCAUGGAAGGGCCAUCGCUCAACGGAUAAAAGCUACCCCGGGGAUAACAGGCUUAUCUCCCCCAAGAGUUCACAUCGACGGGGAGGUUUGGCACCUCGAUGUCGGCUCAUCGCAUCCUGGGGCUGUAGUCGGUCCCAAGGGUUGGGCUGUUCGCCCAUUAAAGCGGUACGCGAGCUGGGUUCAGAACGUCGUGAGACAGUUCGGUCCCUAUCCGUCGUGGGCGUAGGAAAUUUGAGAGGAGCUGUCCUUAGUACGAGAGGACCGGGAUGGACAUACCUCUGGUGUACCAGUUGUCGUGCCAACGGCAUAGCUGGGUAGCUAUGUGUGGACGGGAUAAGUGCUGAAAGCAUCUAAGCAUGAAGCCCCCCUCAAGAUGAGAUUUCCCAACUUCGGUUAUAAGAUCCCUCAAAGAUGAUGAGGUUAAUAGGUUCGAGGUGGAAGCAUGGUGACAUGUGGAGCU
This 2889-nucleotide ribosomal RNA is filed under the name Staphylococcus aureus M1399. RNAcentral describes it as "bacterial LSU rRNA". It matches the Rfam family "Bacterial large subunit ribosomal RNA". Lineage: Bacteria; Bacillati; Bacillota; Bacilli; Caryophanales; Staphylococcaceae. The record is from RNAcentral.